AGAAGUUGUGAUGAGUACAUAGCGAACUAUAAGUUCAGCUUUUACUAAAGAAUACCGUGUACUUGUCACUUAAAGCCGCAUAGGUUAAUUUUUUUUACAGGGGUCUUCUUAUGG
Glycine soja is the source of this 114-nucleotide non-coding RNA. NCBI's taxonomy places the organism in Eukaryota, Viridiplantae, Streptophyta, Magnoliopsida, Fabales, Fabaceae. The record is from Rfam.